This 185-nucleotide transfer-messenger RNA is filed under the name SAR116 cluster bacterium. Its description in RNAcentral is "partial transfer-messenger RNA". It matches the Rfam family "Alphaproteobacteria transfer-messenger RNA", at positions 1 to 175 of the family's 355-position model. From Rfam's summary of the family: Bacterial tmRNA, also known as 10Sa RNA or SsrA, is named for its dual tRNA and mRNA-like properties. Lineage: Bacteria; Pseudomonadati; Pseudomonadota; Alphaproteobacteria; Puniceispirillales (SeqCode). The record is from RNAcentral.
AACUUUUAUUUCCCUGCAUUUGCCUGUUAUACUGAAUGGGCCAGUUUCGGCUGGCUAUGACGAUAAACGUGAUGUGGAAUAAGCAGGGCGGACCCGGGGGCGGUACCCGGCGCCUCCACCAAACAUUGACCAAUGGCUGUAAGCGGGGUUGAAUUUUGGGGGCGAAACAGGAUCGACGCAUGUGG